UAGGGAAUCUUCCACAAUGGGCGCAAGCCUGAUGGAGCAACGCCGCGUGAGUGAAGAAGGUCUUCGGAUCGUAAAACUCUGUUGUAAGAGAAGAACGUGUGUGAGAGUGGAAAGUUCACACAGUGACGGUAACUUACCAGAAAGGGACGGCUAACUACGUACCAG
Molecule: ribosomal RNA, 165 nt
Filed under: uncultured bacterium
Lineage: Bacteria
Description: partial 16S rRNA
Rfam family: Bacterial small subunit ribosomal RNA
Source: RNAcentral